This 253-nucleotide ribosomal RNA is filed under the name uncultured bacterium. RNAcentral's name for it is "partial 16S ribosomal RNA". It matches the Rfam family "Bacterial small subunit ribosomal RNA", at positions 524 to 776 of the family's 1533-position model. The record is from RNAcentral.
UACGGAGGGUGCGAGCGUUGUUCGGAAUCACUGGGCGUAAAGCGCGUGUAGGCGGCCCAUUAAGUCUGAUGUGAAAGCCCGGGGCUCACCCCCGGAAGUGCAUUGGAAACUGAUGGGCUCGAGUCCCGGAGAGGAGGGUGGAAUUCCUGGUGUAGCGGUGAAAUGCGUAGAUAUCAGGAGGAACACCGGUGGCGAAGGCGGCCCUCUGGACGGUGACUGACGCUGAGACACGAAAGCGUGGGGAGCAAACAGG